RNAcentral lists this ribosomal RNA (497 nucleotides) under uncultured bacterium. RNAcentral's name for it is "partial 16S ribosomal RNA". It matches the Rfam family "Bacterial small subunit ribosomal RNA", at positions 28 to 507 of the family's 1533-position model. The record is from RNAcentral.
GAUGAACGCUGGCGGCGUGCUUAAUACAUGCAAGUCGAGCGAACGGACGCGAAGCUUGCUUUUUUGACGUUAGCGGCGGACGGGUGAGUAACACGUGGAUAAUCUACCUAUAAGACUGGGAUCACUUCGGGAAACCGGAGCUAAUACCGGAUAAUAUUUUGCACCGCAUGGUUCAAAAGUGAAAGUCGGUCUUGCUGUCACUUAUAGAUGGAUCUGCGCUGCAUUAGCUAGUUGGUAAGGUAACGGCUUAUCAAGGCAACGAUGCAUAGACGACCUGAGAGGGUGGUCGGCCACACUGGAACGGAGACACGGUCCAGACUCCUGCGGGAGGCAGCAGUAGGGAAUCGUCCGCAGUGGGCGAAAGCCUGACGGAGCAACGCCGCGUGAGAGAUGGAGGUCUUCGGAUCGUGAUACUCUGUUAUUAGGGAAGAACAUAUGUGUAAGUAGCUGUGCACAUCUUGACGGUACCGAGUCAGAAAGCCACGGCUAACUACGUG